Molecule: long non-coding RNA, 344 nt
Filed under: Physcomitrium patens
Lineage: Eukaryota; Viridiplantae; Streptophyta; Bryopsida; Funariales; Funariaceae
Description: long non-coding RNA (PPAT_LNC008065)
Source: RNAcentral
UCUUUGAAUAAGAAGAUUGAGAGUUUCUGAAUAUUGUGAAGUGAAUUAUGGAAUGGAAAUGUGAUUGGUAUUAUUUGAAAAGAAAAAAGAUUGAAUGCUGAAAUCUGAUUGUAGUUCAACAGAGAGAGUGAGUCUGUGUUUGUGUGAAACAUUGUAAUGUAAAUGGCAAUUCUGUGUGAAGAAUUCCAUUGAUUGGAACGAGGGUAAUUGUGUGCUGAAAGCUAUGAGGGUGCAGUAUUACAGUUGGAGAUUAUAACGGUGAAUAUAUUGGUGGAAAUAGUAGUUAUUGGUAUGACUGAAUUGCUGUAAAGAAGAGACCGAUAAGGUGAAGGAGGAGAUUAUAG